This 253-nucleotide ribosomal RNA is filed under the name uncultured bacterium. RNAcentral describes it as "partial 16S ribosomal RNA". It matches the Rfam family "Bacterial small subunit ribosomal RNA", at positions 524 to 776 of the family's 1533-position model. The record is from RNAcentral.
UACGUAGGGCGCGAGCGUUGUCCGGAAUUAUUGGGCGUAAAGAGCUCGUAGGCGGCCUGUCGCGUCGGUUGUGAAAGCCCGGGGCUCAACCCCGGGUCUGCAGUCGAUACGGGCAGGCUAGAGUUCGGUAGGGGAGAUCGGAAUUCCUGGUGUAGCGGUGAAAUGCGCAGAGAUCAGGAGGAACACCGGUGGCGAAGGCGGAUCUCUGGGCCGAUACUGACGCUGAGGAGCGAAAGCGUGGGGAGCGAACAGG